CUAGUAUUUCCACAGGGCUUCCUCUAGAUGGUGGGGACAGGAUUGAUAGCAGGUGCCAAGAAAACUCUUGAUUGCACCCUUGGCCUGGUACUGUACCAAUGGCAGCUUCAUGCAGUGGGACAGAG
RNAcentral lists this small nucleolar RNA (125 nucleotides) under Castor canadensis (American beaver). RNAcentral describes it as "Small nucleolar RNA SNORA30/SNORA37 family (ENSCCNG00000004726.1)". Lineage: Eukaryota; Metazoa; Chordata; Mammalia; Rodentia; Castoridae. The record is from RNAcentral.